GCGAGAGUGGCGAAAUUGGCAUACGCGCUAGAUUUAGGAUCUAGUGCCUUCGGGCUUGGGGGUUCGAGUCCCCCCUCUCGCA
RNAcentral lists this transfer RNA (82 nucleotides) under Calditrichota bacterium. Its description in RNAcentral is "Calditrichaeota bacterium tRNA-Leu". It matches the Rfam family "tRNA". Rfam says of the family: Transfer RNA (tRNA) molecules are approximately 80 nucleotides in length. Lineage: Bacteria; Pseudomonadati; Calditrichota. The record is from RNAcentral.